RNAcentral lists this ribosomal RNA (492 nucleotides) under uncultured bacterium. Its description in RNAcentral is "partial 16S ribosomal RNA". It matches the Rfam family "Bacterial small subunit ribosomal RNA", at positions 29 to 507 of the family's 1533-position model. The record is from RNAcentral.
AGUGAACGCUGGCGGUAGGCCUAACACAUGCAAGUCGAACGGCAGCACAGUAAGAGCUUGCUCUUACGGGUGGCGAGUGGCGGACGGGUGAGGAAUACAUCGGAAUCUACUUUUUCGUGGGGGAUAACGUAGGGAAACUUACGCUAAUACCGCAUACGACCUACGGGUUAAAGCAGGGGAUCUUCGGACCUUGCGCGAUUGAAUGAGUCGAUGUCGGAUUAGCUAGUUGGCGGGGUAAAGGCCCACCAAGGCGACGAUCCGUAGCUGGUCUGAGAGGAUGAUCAGCCACACUGGAACUGAGACACGGUCCAGACUCCUACGGGAGGCAGCAGUGGGGAAUAUUGGACAAUGGGCGCAAGCCUGAUCCAGCCAUACCGCGUGGGUGAAGAAGGCCUUCGGGUUGUAAAGCCCUUUUGUUGGGAAAGAAAAGCAGCAGGUUAAUACCCCGCUGUUCUGACGGUACCCAAAGAAUAAGCACCGGCUAACUUCGUG